This 354-nucleotide ribosomal RNA is filed under the name uncultured soil bacterium. RNAcentral describes it as "bacterial SSU rRNA". It matches the Rfam family "Bacterial small subunit ribosomal RNA", at positions 1044 to 1396 of the family's 1533-position model. The record is from RNAcentral.
UAUGGCUGUCGUCAGCUCGUGUCGUGAGAUGUUGGGUUAAGUCCCGCAACGAGCGCAACCCUCGUUCCAUGUUGCCAGCGCGUAAUGGCGGGGACUCAUGGGAGACUGCCGGGGUCAACUCGGAGGAAGGUGGGGACGACGUCAAAUCAUCAUGCCCCUUAUGUCUUGGGCUUCACGCAUGCUACAAUGGCCGGUACAAAGGGUUGCGAUACUGUGAGGUGGAGCUAAUCCCAAAAAGCCGGUCUCAGUUCGGAUUGGGGUCUGCAACUCGACCCCAUGAAGUCGGAGUCGCUAGUAAUCGCAGAUCAGCAACGCUGCGGUGAAUACGUUCCCGGGCCUUGUACACACCGCCCA